This 2904-nucleotide ribosomal RNA is filed under the name Escherichia coli. Its description in RNAcentral is "23S ribosomal RNA". It matches the Rfam family "Bacterial large subunit ribosomal RNA". The record is from RNAcentral. Lineage: Bacteria; Pseudomonadati; Pseudomonadota; Gammaproteobacteria; Enterobacterales; Enterobacteriaceae.
GGUUAAGCGACUAAGCGUACACGGUGGAUGCCCUGGCAGUCAGAGGCGAUGAAGGACGUGCUAAUCUGCGAUAAGCGUCGGUAAGGUGAUAUGAACCGUUAUAACCGGCGAUUUCCGAAUGGGGAAACCCAGUGUGUUUCGACACACUAUCAUUAACUGAAUCCAUAGGUUAAUGAGGCGAACCGGGGGAACUGAAACAUCUAAGUACCCCGAGGAAAAGAAAUCAACCGAGAUUCCCCCAGUAGCGGCGAGCGAACGGGGAGCAGCCCAGAGCCUGAAUCAGUGUGUGUGUUAGUGGAAGCGUCUGGAAAGGCGCGCGAUACAGGGUGACAGCCCCGUACACAAAAAUGCACAUGCUGUGAGCUCGAUGAGUAGGGCGGGACACGUGGUAUCCUGUCUGAAUAUGGGGGGACCAUCCUCCAAGGCUAAAUACUCCUGACUGACCGAUAGUGAACCAGUACCGUGAGGGAAAGGCGAAAAGAACCCCGGCGAGGGGAGUGAAAAAGAACCUGAAACCGUGUACGUACAAGCAGUGGGAGCACGCUUAGGCGUGUGACUGCGUACCUUUUGUAUAAUGGGUCAGCGACUUAUAUUCUGUAGCAAGGUUAACCGAAUAGGGGAGCCGAAGGGAAACCGAGUCUUAACUGGGCGUUAAGUUGCAGGGUAUAGACCCGAAACCCGGUGAUCUAGCCAUGGGCAGGUUGAAGGUUGGGUAACACUAACUGGAGGACCGAACCGACUAAUGUUGAAAAAUUAGCGGAUGACUUGUGGCUGGGGGUGAAAGGCCAAUCAAACCGGGAGAUAGCUGGUUCUCCCCGAAAGCUAUUUAGGUAGCGCCUCGUGAAUUCAUCUCCGGGGGUAGAGCACUGUUUCGGCAAGGGGGUCAUCCCGACUUACCAACCCGAUGCAAACUGCGAAUACCGGAGAAUGUUAUCACGGGAGACACACGGCGGGUGCUAACGUCCGUCGUGAAGAGGGAAACAACCCAGACCGCCAGCUAAGGUCCCAAAGUCAUGGUUAAGUGGGAAACGAUGUGGGAAGGCCCAGACAGCCAGGAUGUUGGCUUAGAAGCAGCCAUCAUUUAAAGAAAGCGUAAUAGCUCACUGGUCGAGUCGGCCUGCGCGGAAGAUGUAACGGGGCUAAACCAUGCACCGAAGCUGCGGCAGCGACGCUUAUGCGUUGUUGGGUAGGGGAGCGUUCUGUAAGCCUGUGAAGGUGUGCUGUGAGGCAUGCUGGAGGUAUCAGAAGUGCGAAUGCUGACAUAAGUAACGAUAAAGCGGGUGAAAAGCCCGCUCGCCGGAAGACCAAGGGUUCCUGUCCAACGUUAAUCGGGGCAGGGUGAGUCGACCCCUAAGGCGAGGCCGAAAGGCGUAGUCGAUGGGAAACAGGUUAAUAUUCCUGUACUUGGUGUUACUGCGAAGGGGGGACGGAGAAGGCUAUGUUGGCCGGGCGACGGUUGUCCCGGUUUAAGCGUGUAGGCUGGUUUUCCAGGCAAAUCCGGAAAAUCAAGGCUGAGGCGUGAUGACGAGGCACUACGGUGCUGAAGCAACAAAUGCCCUGCUUCCAGGAAAAGCCUCUAAGCAUCAGGUAACAUCAAAUCGUACCCCAAACCGACACAGGUGGUCAGGUAGAGAAUACCAAGGCGCUUGAGAGAACUCGGGUGAAGGAACUAGGCAAAAUGGUGCCGUAACUUCGGGAGAAGGCACGCUGAUAUGUAGGUGAAGCGACUUGCUCGUGGAGCUGAAAUCAGUCGAAGAUACCAGCUGGCUGCAACUGUUUAUUAAAAACACAGCACUGUGCAAACACGAAAGUGGACGUAUACGGUGUGACGCCUGCCCGGUGCCGGAAGGUUAAUUGAUGGGGUCAGCGCAAGCGAAGCUCUUGAUCGAAGCCCCGGUAAACGGCGGCCGUAACUAUAACGGUCCUAAGGUAGCGAAAUUCCUUGUCGGGUAAGUUCCGACCUGCACGAAUGGCGUAAUGAUGGCCAGGCUGUCUCCACCCGAGACUCAGUGAAAUUGAACUCGCUGUGAAGAUGCAGUGUACCCGCGGCAAGACGGAAAGACCCCGUGAACCUUUACUAUAGCUUGACACUGAACAUUGAGCCUUGAUGUGUAGGAUAGGUGGGAGGCUUGGAAGUGUGGACGCCAGUCUGCAUGGAGCCGACCUUGAAAUACCACCCUUUAAUGUUUGAUGUUCUAACGUUGACCCGUAAUCCGGGUUGCGGACAGUGUCUGGUGGGUAGUUUGACUGGGGCGGUCUCCUCCUAAAGAGUAACGGAGGAGCACGAAGGUUGGCUAAUCCUGGUCGGACAUCAGGAGGUUAGUGCAAUGGCAUAAGCCAGCUUGACUGCGAGCGUGACGGCGCGAGCAGGUGCGAAAGCAGGUCAUAGUGAUCCGGUGGUUCUGAAUGGAAGGGCCAUCGCUCAACGGAUAAAAGGUACUCCGGGGAUAACAGGCUGAUACCGCCCAAGAGUUCAUAUCGACGGCGGUGUUUGGCACCUCGAUGUCGGCUCAUCACAUCCUGGGGCUGAAGUAGGUCCCAAGGGUAUGGCUGUUCGCCAUUUAAAGUGGUACGCGAGCUGGGUUUAGAACGUCGUGAGACAGUUCGGUCCCUAUCUGCCGUGGGCGCUGGAGAACUGAGGGGGGCUGCUCCUAGUACGAGAGGACCGGAGUGGACGCAUCACUGGUGUUCGGGUUGUCAUGCCAAUGGCACUGCCCGGUAGCUAAAUGCGGAAGAGAUAAGUGCUGAAAGCAUCUAAGCACGAAACUUGCCCCGAGAUGAGUUCUCCCUGACUCCUUGAGAGUCCUGAAGGAACGUUGAAGACGACGACGUUGAUAGGCCGGGUGUGUAAGCGCAGCGAUGCGUUGAGCUAACCGGUACUAAUGAACCGUGAGGCUUAACCUU